Molecule: ribosomal RNA, 497 nt
Filed under: uncultured bacterium
Lineage: Bacteria
Description: partial 16S ribosomal RNA
Rfam family: Bacterial small subunit ribosomal RNA
Source: RNAcentral
GAUGAACGCUGGCGGCGUGCCUAAUACAUGCAAGUCGAGCGAACAGACGAGGAGCUUGCUCCUCUGACGUUAGCGGCGGACGGGUGAGUAACACGUGGAUAACCUACCUAUAAGACUGGGAUAACUUCGGGAAACCGGAGCUAAUACCGGAUAAUAUAUUGAACCGCAUGGUUCAAUAGUGAAAGACGGUUUUGCUGUCACUUAUAGAUGGAUCCGCGCCGCAUUAGCUAGUUGGUAAGGUAACGGCUUACCAAGGCAACGAUGCGUAGCCGACCUGAGAGGGUGAUCGGCCACACUGGAACUGAGACACGGUCCAGACUCCUACGGGAGGCAGCAGUAGGGAAUCUUCCGCAAUGGGCGAAAGCCUGACGGAGCAACGCCGCGUGAGUGAUGAAGGUCUUCGGAUCGUAAAACUCUGUUAUUAGGGAAGAACAAAUGUGUAAGUAACUAUGCGCGUCUUGACGGUACCUAAUCAGAAAGCCACGGCUAACUACGUG